UAUAAUAAGACCAUCAAUGGAUAUAGCGCGAGACUGCUUGCAGGCAGAGCGAUAUAUCCAUUAGAUGGUCAAACAGACAUGAGCAAGUAAUAGUUCAGCGAAGCUGAACUUAUGGAUUGCGAAUGGAUGUUAUGGUUUCGGAAGUUCGAAGAACGGAGAAACCAUAAUUAUUAUG
Molecule: small RNA, 175 nt
Organism: Firmicutes bacterium CAG:882
Lineage: Bacteria; Bacillati; Bacillota
Rfam family: Clostridiales-1 RNA
Source: Rfam